AUUGAACGCUGGCGGCAUGCUUUACACAUGCAAGUCGAACGGCAGCACCGAGACGCUUGCUUCUUGGGUGGCGAGUGGCUAACGGGUUAGUCAUAUAUCGGAACUUACCGAGUAAUGGGGGAUCACUAAUCGAAAGAUUAGCUAAUACCUCAUAUUCUCUGACGUUGAAAGCAGGGGACCUUCGGGCCUUUCGUUAUUCGAUCGGCCGCUAUCUGCUUAGCUAGUUGGUGGGGUAAAGGCCUACCAAGGCGACGAUCAGUAGCUGCGAUGAGAGGAUGAUCCGCAAGAUGGGGACAGAGAAAGGGCCGAGACUCUGACAGGAGGCAACAGUGGGGAAUUUUGGAGGAGGGGGGAAAGCGGGAUACAGCAAAGCCGGGUGUAGGAAGAAGGAGUUAGGGUUGGAAAGGAAUUUUGUCAGGGAAGAAAAGGAUGUUGCUAAUACCGGAAGAUGAUGACGGUACCGGAAGAAUAAGCACCGGCUAACUACGUG
This 490-nucleotide ribosomal RNA is filed under the name uncultured bacterium. Its description in RNAcentral is "partial 16S ribosomal RNA". It matches the Rfam family "Bacterial small subunit ribosomal RNA", at positions 30 to 507 of the family's 1533-position model. The record is from RNAcentral.